AGCGAACGCUGGCGGCAGGCCUAACACAUACAAGUCGAACGAACUCUUCGGAGUUAGUGGCGGACGGGUGAGUAACACGUGGGAACGUGCCUUUAGGUUCGGAAUAACUCAGGGAAACUUGUGCUAAUACCGAAUGUGCCCUUCGGGGGAAAGAUUUAUCGCCUUUAGAGCGGCCCGCGUCUGAUUAGCUAGUUGGUGAGGUAAAGGCUCACCAAGGCGACGAUCAGUAGCUGGUCUGAGAGGAUGAUCAGCCACAUUGGGACUGAGACACGGCCCAAACUCCUACGGGAGGCAGCAGUGGGGAAUCUUGCGCAAUGGGCGAAAGCCUGACGCAGCCAUGCCGCGUGAAUGAUGAAGGUCUUAGGAUUGUAAAAUUCUUUCACCGGGGACGAUAAUGACGGUACCCGGAGAAGAAGCCCCGGCUAACUUCGUG
RNAcentral lists this ribosomal RNA (433 nucleotides) under uncultured bacterium. RNAcentral describes it as "partial 16S ribosomal RNA". It matches the Rfam family "Bacterial small subunit ribosomal RNA", at positions 29 to 507 of the family's 1533-position model. The record is from RNAcentral.